This 460-nucleotide ribosomal RNA is filed under the name uncultured bacterium. RNAcentral's name for it is "partial 16S ribosomal RNA". It matches the Rfam family "Bacterial small subunit ribosomal RNA", at positions 338 to 795 of the family's 1533-position model. The record is from RNAcentral.
CCUACGGGUGGCAGCAGUGAGGAAUAUUGGUCAAUGGGCGGAAGCCUGAACCAGCCAAGUAGCGUGCAGGAUGACGGCCCUACGGGUUGUAAACUGCUUUUAUACGGGAAUAACGCGCGUCACGUGUAGGGCUUUGCAUGUACCGUAUGAAUAAGGACCGGCUAAUUCCGUGCCAGCAGCCGCGGUAAUACGGAAGGUCCGGGCGUUAUCCGGAUUUAUUGGGUUUAAAGGGAGCGUAGGCGGCAUGUUAAGUGUGCUGUGAAAGGUCCGGGCUCAACCCGAGCCUUGCAGCUGGAACUGGCAGGCUUGAGUCCGCGGAAGGCAGGCGGAAUUCGUCGUGUAGCGGUGAAAUGCUUAGAUAUGACGAAGAACCCCGAUUGCGAAGGCAGCUUGCUGCAGCGUAACUGACGCUGAUGCUCGAAAGCGCGGGUAUCGAACAGGAUUAGAUACCCGGGUAGUC